GACGAACGCUGGCGGCGUGCCUAAUACAUGCAAGUAGAACGCUGAAGGAGGAGCUUGCUCUUCUGGAUGAGUUGCGAACGGGUGAGUAACGCGUAGGUAACCUGCCUGGUAGCGGGGGAUAACUAUUGGAAACGAUAGCUAAUACCGCAUAAGAGUAGAUGUUGCAUGACAUUUACUUAAAAGGUGCAAUUGCAUCACUACCAGAUGGACCUGCGUUGUAUUAGCUAGUUGGUGGGGUAACGGCUUACCAAGGCGACGAUACAUAGCCGACCUGAGAGGGUGAUCGGCCACACUGGGACUGAGACACGGCCCAGACUCCUACGGGAGGCAGCAGUAGGGAAUCUUCGGCAAUGGACGGAAGUCUGACCGAGCAACGCCGCGUGAGUGAAGAAGGGUUUCGGAUCGUAAAGCUCUGUUGUAAGAGAAGAACGAGGGUGAGAGUGGAAAGUUCACACUGUGACGGUAGCUGACCAGAAAGAGACGGCUAACUACGUG
This 495-nucleotide ribosomal RNA is filed under the name uncultured bacterium. RNAcentral's name for it is "partial 16S ribosomal RNA". It matches the Rfam family "Bacterial small subunit ribosomal RNA", at positions 28 to 507 of the family's 1533-position model. The record is from RNAcentral.